Molecule: ribosomal RNA, 253 nt
Filed under: uncultured bacterium
Lineage: Bacteria
Description: partial 16S ribosomal RNA
Rfam family: Bacterial small subunit ribosomal RNA
Source: RNAcentral
UACGUAGGGUGCGAGCGUUACUCGGAAUUACUGGGCGUAAAGCGUGCGCAGGCGGCUUCGCAAGUCAGACGUGAAAUCCCCGGGCUUAACCUGGGAAUGGCGUUUGAAACUACGGAGCUGGAGUAUGGCAGAGGGGGGUGGAAUUCCACGUGUAGCGGUGAAAUGCGUAGAUAUGUGGAGGAACACCGAUGGCGAAGGCAGCCCCCUGGGCCAAUACUGACGCUCAUGCACGAAAGCGUGGGGAGCAAACAGG